Long non-coding RNA from Rhinichthys klamathensis goyatoka, 850 nucleotides. RefSeq lists it as uncharacterized. The record is from RefSeq and is a predicted model, not a curated record. The transcript is spliced from 5 exons. NCBI's taxonomy places the organism in Eukaryota, Metazoa, Chordata, Actinopteri, Cypriniformes, Leuciscidae.
UUGGCUUUGUGCAAAUAACAUAAUUGUAGGACAUUCAGCAAAAUAUGGCAGCUACACCAUGAUGGACCUCAAAGCCAAUAGGGUCAAAGACAUCCAACUAGUCCAGAGCAAUGAAGUUGGAAACAGCCAAAGAAAGGAGAGGGAGGGAUUUGAAAGAAGCUUGUCUCUUCUUGAGGAAAGAGGUGUUGUGGUCCAGUCUUUGGUGACUGAUCGUCACACAGGGGUACAGAAGUUUAUGAGCAAAAAAAGGACAUUAGACACUUCUUCGACCCUUGGCAUAUGGGAAAAGGGCUGGGUAAAAAAAUGGAUGCCCUUAGUAAGGGUAAGGGACUGCAGGACGUGGGAAUGUGGAGAAAGAGUGUGGUCAAUCACCUUUAUUGGUCUGCGACCACAUCAACAUCUGGGGAGGAGGUAGUGGCCAAGUGGAGCUCUGUAGCAAACCAUAUUCAGAACAUCCACUGCCACGAAAACACCCUGUUUCCUUCUUGUCUCCACGAGCCUCUGGUUGGUGAUCAGACAAGACACUGGCUCAAACCAAGCACAGCAGCAUGUGAAAAGGUCACAGCAAUUUUGUUGUCACCACGUCUUCUUAAAGACAUGCUCAAAAUUAGUCCAGAAUACCACACCUCUGGAAUCGAGUGUUUCCACAGCCUCAUUCUGAAGUUCUCAUCCAAUGUGGUGUUCUCCUUCAAAGGAAAGUUGUGGAGACUACAGCUUGCUGCGAUGCAUUAUAAUGAAAAUGCAGGCAGAUAAAAGGCAUCCACUGCAGCUGGUGAUCUGCAAUACUCAAUCGUUUCCCCAAAAUUCAAGCAUGGAAACUUCACAGUGAGAGCUCUGAAGAGCAAUCCUA